AGACGCUGGCGGCGUGCCUACUACAUGCAGUCGAGCGAAUGGAUUAAGAGCUUGCUCUUAUGAAGUUAGCGGCGGACGGGUGAGUAACACGUGGGUAACCUGCCCAUAAGACUGGGAUAACUCCGGGAAACCGGGGCUAAUACCGGAUAACAUUUUGAACCGCAUGGUUCGAAAUUGAAAGGCGGCUUCGGCUGUCACUUAUGGAUGGACCCGCGUCGCAUUAGCUAGUUGGUGAGGUAACGGCUCACCAAGGCAACGAUGCGUAGCCGACCUGAGAGGGUGAUCGGCCACACUGGGACUGAGACACGGCCCAGACUCCUACGGGAGGCAGCAGUAGGGAAUCUUCCGCAAUGGACGAAAGUCUGACGGAGCAACGCCGCGUGAGUGAUGAAGGCUUUCGGGUCGUAAAACUCUGUUGUUAGGGAAGAACACGUGCUAGUUGAAUAAGCUGGCACCUUGACGGUACCUAACCAGAAAGCCACGGCUACUACGUGCCAGCAGCCGCGGUAAUACGUAGGGGCAGCGUUAUCCGGAUUUUGGGCGUAAGCGCGCGCAGGGGUUCUUAGUCUGAUGUGAAAGCCCCGGCUCACCUGGAGGUCUUGAACUGGGAGACUUGAGUGCAAAAGGAAUGGAUCAUGUGUGGGGGGGAAUGCUUAGAAUUGGAGAAACCCAUGGCGAGGCCCUUUUUGUUUGUAACUAACUGGGGCGAACUUGGGAAAACAGAUUAUUCCUGGUAUCACGGACCAGAGGUUAGGUAGGUCCCUUAUGUGAUUACAUUAACUCCGGAACGCCCCGUAAACAAAGAGUCGGGCCCACCGUGGAGGUGUUUUAAAAGACCGGAACCUCCCGUUACCUCCACCAAAAGU
This 866-nucleotide ribosomal RNA is filed under the name Bacillus thuringiensis. RNAcentral describes it as "bacterial SSU rRNA". It matches the Rfam family "Bacterial small subunit ribosomal RNA", at positions 31 to 873 of the family's 1533-position model. Lineage: Bacteria; Bacillati; Bacillota; Bacilli; Caryophanales; Bacillaceae. The record is from RNAcentral.